CGGGCGGGGAUUAGUGGCGAACGGGUGAGUAACACGUGGGCAAUCUGCCCUGCACUCUGGGACAAGCCCUGGAAACGGGGUCUAAUACCGGAUAUGACUGUCCGCCGCAUGGUGGAUGGUGUAAAGCUCCGGCGGUGCAGGAUGAGCCCGCGGCCUAUCAGCUUGUUGGUGAGGUAGUGGCUCACCAAGGCGACGACGGGUAGCCGGCCUGAGACAGCGACCGACCACACUGGGACUGAGACACCGCCCAGACUCCUACGGGAGGCAGCAGUGGGGAAUAUUGCACAAUGGGCGAAAGCCUGAUGCAACGACGCCGCGUGAGGGAUGACGGCCUUCGAGUUGUAAACCUCCUUCAGCAGGGAAGAAGCGAGAGUGACGGUACCUGCAGAAGAAGCGCCGGCUAACUACGUGCCAGCAGCCGCGGUAAUACGUAGGGCGCAAGCGUUGUCCGGAAUUAUUGGGCGUAAAGAGCUCGUAGGCGGCUUGUCACGUCGGUUGAAAAAGCCCGGGGCUUAACCCCGGGUCUGCAGUCGAUACGGGCAGGCUAGAGUUCGGUAGGGGAGAUCGGAAUUCCUGGUGUAGCGGUGAAAUGCGCAGAUAUCAGGAGGAACACCGGUGGCGAAGGCGGAUCUCUGGGCCGAUACUGACGCUGAGGAGCGAAAGCGUGGGGAGCGAACAGGAUUAGAUACCCUGGUAGUCCACGCCGUAAACGGUGGGCACUAGGUGUGGGCAACAUUCCACGUUGUCCGUGCCGCAGCUAACGCAUUAAGUGCCCCGCCUGGGGAGUACGGCCGCAAGGCUAAAACUCAAAGGAAUUGACGGGGGCCCGCACAAGCGGCGGAGCAUGUGGCUUAAUUCGACGCAACGCGAAGAACCUUACCAAGGCUUGACAUACACCGGAAACGUCUGGAGACAGGCGCCCCCUUGUGGUCGGUGUACAGGUGGUGCAUGGCUGUCGUCAGCUCGUGUCGUGAGAUGUUGGGUUAAGUCCCGCAACGAGCGCAACCCUUGUCCCGUGUUGCCAGCAGGCCCUUGUGGUGCUGGGGACUCACGGGAGACCGCCGGGGUCAACUCGGAGGAAGGUGGGGACGACGUCAAGUCAUCAUGCCCCUUAUGUCUUGGGCUGCACACGUGCUACAAUGGCCGGUACAAUGAGCUGCGAUACCGUGAGGUGGAGCGAAUCUCAAAAAGCCGGUCUCAGUUCGGAUUGGGGUCUGCAACUCGACCCCAUGAAGUCGGAGUCGCUAGUAAUCGCAGAUCAGCAUUGCUGCGGUGAAUACGUUCCCGGGCCUUGUACACACCGCCCGUCACGUCACGAAAGUCGGUAACACCCGAAGCCGGUGGCCCAACCCCUUGUGGGAGGGAGCUGUCGAAGGUGGACCUGCGAGUG
This 1390-nucleotide ribosomal RNA is filed under the name Streptomyces sp. RNAcentral's name for it is "bacterial SSU rRNA". It matches the Rfam family "Bacterial small subunit ribosomal RNA". Lineage: Bacteria; Bacillati; Actinomycetota; Actinomycetes; Kitasatosporales; Streptomycetaceae. The record is from RNAcentral.